This is a small nucleolar RNA of Pongo abelii (Sumatran orangutan), 91 nucleotides long. Lineage: Eukaryota; Metazoa; Chordata; Mammalia; Primates; Hominidae. The record is from Ensembl.
AUACUUUUAUAGUUCAUAAGUGUUCACACACACGUAUGAGAUGAGCCACCCUAGAACCUUGUUACAGUGUUAGCACAUUACCAGUCUGAUA